GAUACAUGGAAGGCCUCACACGCCUCGCCGUCCUUUACCUCUGCCCCAUCGUACGACAGCGCCAUGGAUGUGGCCGGACCCCCACCUCGUCGUCCUGCAUCUAUGGCUACAUGCCCUCCCCCAUAGCAUUCUUGUCAUGUGCAGCCCGUGCCUACCAAUUCGAAUCUGAAUCUCACUGCUUUCCUUCUUUUUCCUCAAGCGUUUUCACUCUUCAAGGAAUCUUCUUCGCCGGUUCACUCCAUUGAAGAUCUGAUUGGAGAUUUCAUGAUAGAUGGAGGCUGAAAUCGUUUUGUUGACUUGCUCCAGGAUGGAGUCAAGCUCUUCUCGGUCACUUCCGCACGGCAGCCGGCAGGUGGCACUGCGAGCAGGGGCGGGCUGCGGUCGAGUAGGGAGUCAAGCGGAGGUAGUCAAGAGGCGGCGGCGCUAGGAUAUGUCGCAGGAUCCGCCGCCAUUAACGGAUGUUGGCUAUCGGUAUGGAUCAGUUGUCCCCCGACGAGGGGCGCCUCCGUGCCCGCCGUCGCAGCCAUGUCCGCAUAGACCACGACCGCCGGAUCCUUUUUAUACUUCUUUUUCUUCUGCACCUCGCAUUUAAAUUGCACAGGAUGCUGACAGAUAUUCCAAUGCGGUCUGUGUUGCAUUAUCUGGAAGCUCGUGUUAAGAUUCUGCUCCUUCUUUUAAGCAAGAAUUUGUGUAGGGUUUAAAAAAAUUGCUCCGCUCGCCGAUGCAUGUUUUUGUUCGUUUGGGUGCUGAAUUUGUUUUUUGUUUUUACCUAAAGUUUGUCAGGAAAAUAGGCUGUCGUAUCUUCCAUGAUUGUACAUCUCGAAGAUCUUCAUUUUUGCUGGCGUUCUUGGAUGAAGGGGUUUGAGCAGAGAAUGCUAGUGCAGAUGGAUUAUUUUUUAUGGGAGCCAACCAACAUAUCAUUGCAUCUUUGGCUUCCAACUCACAACUGGUUCAGCUGCUGAUACUGCAAGGUUCUCCGUACUACCUUGUUAAGGAAAGUGCAGUCCUGCCUGAAGUUCAGAGAGGUUGUCAGAGGAAGAGAAUUGCUCAAAUAGCUGGACAAUGAUAACUUGCCAUUGAAGAACUGAGUUUGCUCUACCAAAGAAUGCUGCUGAUCUGUUUAAUAGAUAAUCCUGGCAAGCAUCAUCAAGACAACACUACAAAUCUAGAACAACACCUGGUCGAUAGAAGCUUUUGCUACUGUUGGAUUAGCAAUUGGUAGAUCCUUUAGAUGGUGAUUAGGUCUUUUUUCUUGUUCUGGUUGAUAUAAUUUUUUGAAUUCUUCUGAAUAAAUGAUUUCGUUGUAAAUUUGGAUUGGCAAUUGGUUGAUCUGGGGCUGCUGUGCCGUAGGCCCAUCUCA
Lolium rigidum is the source of this 1360-nucleotide long non-coding RNA. RefSeq lists it as uncharacterized. The transcript is spliced from 5 exons. The record is from RefSeq and is a predicted model, not a curated record. Lineage: Eukaryota; Viridiplantae; Streptophyta; Magnoliopsida; Poales; Poaceae.